RNAcentral lists this ribosomal RNA (652 nucleotides) under Bifidobacterium animalis subsp. animalis. RNAcentral's name for it is "bacterial SSU rRNA". It matches the Rfam family "Bacterial small subunit ribosomal RNA", at positions 64 to 715 of the family's 1533-position model. Lineage: Bacteria; Bacillati; Actinomycetota; Actinomycetes; Bifidobacteriales; Bifidobacteriaceae. The record is from RNAcentral.
GGAUCCCUGGCGGCCUGGCUGCCGGGGUGAGAGUGGCGAACGGGUGAGUAAUGCGUGACCAACCUGCCCUGUGCACCGGAAUAGCUCCUGGAAACGGGUGGUAAUACCGGAUGCUCCGCCCCACCGCAUGGUGGGGUGGGAAAUGCUUUUUGCGGCAUGGGAUGGGGUCGCGUCCUAUCAGCUUGUUGGCGGGGUGAUGGCCCACCAAGGCGUUGACGGGUAGCCGGCCUGAGAGGGUGACCGGCCACAUUGGGACUGAGAUACGGCCCAGACUCCUACGGGAGGCAGCAGUGGGGAAUAUUGCACAAUGGGCGCAAGCCUGAUGCAGCGACGCCGCGUGCGGGAUGGAGGCCUUCGGGUUGUAAACCGCUUUUGUUCAAGGGCAAGGCACGGCUUCGGGCCGUGUUGAGUGGAUUGUUCGAAUAAGCACCGGCUAACUACGUGCCAGCAGCCGCGGUAAUACGUAGGGUGCGAGCGUUAUCCGGAUUUAUUGGGCGUAAAGGGCUCGUAGGCGGUUCGUCGCGUCCGGUGUGAAAGUCCAUCGCCUAACGGUGGAUCUGCGCCGGGUACGGGCGGGCUGGAGUGCGGUAGGGGAGACUGGAAUUCCCGGUGUAACGGUGGAAUGUGUAGAUAUCGGGAAGAACACCAAUGG